GACGAACCGAGCGAACGUUGUUCGGAAUCACUGGGCUUAAAGGGCGCGUAGGCGGGCCAUCAAGUCCGGGGUGAAAUCCUCCGGCUUAACCGGAGAAUUGCCUUGGAUACUGGUGGUCUUGAGGGAAGUAGGGGUCUGCGGAACUUCCGGUGGAGCGGUGAAAUGUGUUGAUAUCGGAAGGAACGCCGGUGGCGAAAGCGGCGGACUGGGCUUCUUCUGACGCUGAGGAGCGAAAGCUAGGGGAGCAAACGGG
RNAcentral lists this ribosomal RNA (253 nucleotides) under uncultured bacterium. RNAcentral describes it as "partial 16S ribosomal RNA". It matches the Rfam family "Bacterial small subunit ribosomal RNA", at positions 524 to 776 of the family's 1533-position model. The record is from RNAcentral.